AUUGAACGCUGGCGGCAGGCCUAACACAUGCAAGUCGAACGGUAACAGGAAGCAGCUUGCUGCUUCGCUGACGAGUGGCGGACGGGUGUGUCAUGUCUGGGAAGCUGCCUGAUGGCGGGGGAUAACUACUGGAAACGGUAGCUAAUACCGCAUAAUGUCGCAAGACCAAAGAGGGGGACCUUCGGGCCUCUUGCCAUCGGAUGUGCCCAGAUGGGAUUAGCUUGUUGGUGGGGUAACGGCUCACCAAGGCGACGAUCCCUAGCUGGUCUGAGAGGAUGACCAGCCACACUGGAACUGAGACACGGUCCAGACUCCUACGGGAGGCAGCAGUGGGGAAUAUUGCACAAUGGGCGCAAGCCUGAUGCAGCCAUGCCGCGUGUAUGAAGAAGGCCUUCGGGUUGUAAAGUACUUUCAGCGGGGAGGAAGGGAGUAAAGUUAAUACCUGUGCUCAUUGACGGUACCCGCAGAAGAAGCACCGGCUAACUCCGUG
Molecule: ribosomal RNA, 490 nt
Filed under: uncultured bacterium
Lineage: Bacteria
Description: partial 16S ribosomal RNA
Rfam family: Bacterial small subunit ribosomal RNA
Source: RNAcentral